Heterocephalus glaber (naked mole-rat) is the source of this 619-nucleotide non-coding RNA. The record is from RefSeq and is a predicted model, not a curated record. Lineage: Eukaryota; Metazoa; Chordata; Mammalia; Rodentia; Bathyergidae.
GUGCCUGGAGGGUUAUAUCAGGUCCCCGGCCUCCUCCUGUCGGACUCUUUCCUCCUAAUUCUCCACAAGCCAAAACCUGAGAUGAGUAUCCCUGAAGACUGACCACAGGCCAGAGGCUGAGCCGCUGGGGCAAGAGAAGCAAGUGCAUUAGGCCCAAGCACAACAGCCGUAAGAAAGAGGUACUGUUCCUCCUGCCAUUUUGCAGAUAAGCCUGCUGAGGCUUGAAGUUUUAACAGCCCUUCAGGGUAAGCUGCCAAGUUAGGACCUGCGCCCAGGACCAGCUCAUCCCCAAACUCUUGCUCUAAGCUGCUCUGCCACCAUGUUAACACUAGCUUGUAAGUGUACACUUUCUGAGGCUUCUCCCUCUCAAGUAGCUGGUAACUUUCAAAUAUGUGUGUAUAACAUGUAGUCUCAAGAGGGCCGGGGAUUUAGCUCAGUGGUGCCACCUCCUGCCUCAAAAGCGCAAGGUCCUGAGUUCGAUCUCAGGUAUUAAAAAAAAAAGCAGUCUCAAGAAGUAAGAGUUUGUUCUAUAUCCUUAAGAUACAGAAAUGUAAAUUUAGGAAAUGGGAAUACUGACAUCUGAAAAAUAAAUAAUGGAACCCAACUUAUAGUGUUUCUG